ACAGUGGACGCGAGCAUCUGUGGCCAAGUUUUUAAGGGCGCACGGUGGAUGCCUUGGCACCAGGAACCGAUGAAGGACGUGGGAGGCCGCGAUAGGCCCCGGGGAGUUGUCAACCGAGCUGUGAUCCGGGGGUGUCCGAAUGGGGAAACCCGGCAGUCGUCAUGGGCUGUCACCCGCAUCUGAAUGUAUAGGGUGUGUGGAGGGAACGCGGGGAAGUGAAACAUCUCAGUACCCGCAGGAAGAGAAAACAACUGUGAUUCCGGGAGUAGUGGCGAGCGAAACUGGAUGAGGCUAAACCGUAUGUGUGUGAGACCCGGCAGGGGUUGCAUGUACGGGGUUGUGGGAGUUCUCUUGUCCGGUCUGCCGGCCGGUCGGCGAGUCAGAAAUUGUUGAUGUAGGCGAAGGGUAUGCGAAAGGCCCGGCGUAGAGGGUAAGACCCCCGUAGCUGAAAUGUCAGCAACUUGUUUGAGGACCACCCGAGUAGCAUGGGGCCCGAGAAAUCCUGUGUGAAUCUGGCGGGACCACCCGUCAAGCCUAAAUAUUCCCUGGUGACCGAUAGCGGAUAGUACCGUGAGGGAAUGGUGAAAAGUACCGCGGGAGCGGAGUGAAAGAGUACCUGAAACCGUGUGCCUACAAGCCGUGGGAGCGUCGCGUGCCAAGCUUGCUUGGUGCGUCGUGACUGCGUGCCUUUUGAAGAAUGAGCCUGCGAGUUUGCGGCAUGUUGCGAGGUUAACCCGUGUGGGGGAGCCGUAGCGAAAGCGAGUCCGAAGAGGGCGGUCUGAGUAGCGUGUUCAAGACCCGAAGCGGAGUGAUCUAGCCAUGGGCAGGGUGAAGCGGAGGUAAGACUUCGUGGAGGCCCGAACCCACCAGGGUUGAAAACCUGGGGGAUGACCUGUGGUUAGGGGUGAAAGGCCAAUCAAACUCCGUGAUAGCUGGUUCUCCCCGAAAUGCAUUUAGGUGCAGCGUCGUGUGUUUCUUGCCGGAGGUAGAGCACUGGAUAGGCGAUGGGCCCUACCGGGUUACUGACCUUAGCCAANUCCGAGUCUGUAGUAGGUGAGUGAUGGGGUGACGCAGGAAGGUAGUCCAGCCCGGGCGGUGGUUGUCCCGGGGUAAGGGUGUAGGGCGUCAUGCAGGUAAAUCCGCAUGGCACGAAGCCUGAGACCUGAUGCCGAGCCGAUUGUGGUGAAGUGGAUGAUCCUAUGCUGUCGAGAAAAGCCUCUAGCGAGUGCUGUUGCGGCCCGUACCCUAAACCGACUCAGGUGGUCUGGUAGAGAAUACCGAGGCGUUCGGGUGAACUAUGGUUAAGGAACUCGGCAAAAUGCCCCCGUAACUUCGGGAGAAGGGGGGCCACGGCCGGUGAAGAGUCUUGCACUCGGAGCUGGUGGUGGCCGCAGAGACCAGCGAGAAGCGACUGUUUACUAAAAACACAGGUCCGUGCGAAGCCGUAAGGCGAUGUAUACGGACUGACGCCUGCCCGGUGCUGGAACGUUAAGGGGACCGGUUAGUCACAUUUCGGUGUGGCGAAGCUGAGAACUUAAGCGCCAGUAAACGGCGGUGGUAACUAUAACCAUCCUAAGGUAGCGAAAUUCCUUGUCGGGUAAGUUCCGACCUGCACGAAUGGCGUAACGACUUCUUGACUGUCUCAACCAUAGGCCCGGUGAAAUUGCACUACGAGUAAAGAUGCUCGUUUCGCGCAGCAGGACGGAAAGACCCCGGGACCUUUACUACAGCUUGAUAUUGGUGUUCGGUUCGGUUUGUGUAGGAUAGGUGGGAGACUGUGAAGCAUUCGCGCCAGCGGGUGUGGAGUCGUUGUUGAAAUACCACUCUGAUCGUGCUGGAUGUCUAACCUGGGUCCGUGAUCCGGAUCAGGGACAGUGUCUGGUGGGUAGUUUAACUGGGGCGGUUGCCUCCUAAAAUGUAACGGAGGCGCCCAAAGGUUCCCUCAGCCUGGUUGGUCAUCAGGUGGUGAGUGUAAGUGCACAAGGGAGCUUGACUGUGAGACUGACGGGUCGAGCAGGGACGAAAGUCGGGACUAGUGAUCCGGCGGUGGCUUGUGGAAGCGCCGUCGCUCAACGGAUAAAAGGUACCCCGGGGAUAACAGGCUGAUCUUCCCCAAGAGUCCAUAUCGACGGGAUGGUUUGGCACCUCGAUGUCGGCUCGUCGCAUCCUGGGGCUGGAGUCGGUCCCAAGGGUUGGGCUGUUCGCCCAUUAAAGCGGUACGCGAGCUGGGUUUAGAACGUCGUGAGACAGUUCGGUCCCUAUCCGCUGCGCGCGUAGGAGUCUUGAGAAGGGCUGUCCCUAGUACGAGAGGACCGGGACGGACGGACCUCUGGUGUGCCAGUUGUUCUGCCAAGAGCAUGGCUGGUUGGCUACGUUCGGGAGGGAUAACCGCUGAAAGCAUCUAAGCGGGAAGCCUGCUUCGAGAUGAGGACUCCCACCCCCUGUGUGGGGUUAAGGCUCCCGGGAGAUGACCGGGUUGAUAGGCCGGAUAUGGAAGACCCGUGAGGGUUGGAGUUGACCGGUACUAAUAAGCCGAGGGCUUGACCACACA
This 2551-nucleotide ribosomal RNA is filed under the name Streptomyces abyssalis. RNAcentral describes it as "bacterial LSU rRNA". It matches the Rfam family "Bacterial large subunit ribosomal RNA". The record is from RNAcentral. Lineage: Bacteria; Bacillati; Actinomycetota; Actinomycetes; Kitasatosporales; Streptomycetaceae.